Molecule: unclassified non-coding RNA, 1807 nt
Filed under: Hevea brasiliensis (rubber tree)
Lineage: Eukaryota; Viridiplantae; Streptophyta; Magnoliopsida; Malpighiales; Euphorbiaceae
Source: RNAcentral
GAGAUUUAAACAUAAUGUAAUUAAAUAUUUUAGAGUUGGAUAAGUGAGGUGGGAUUAUACAUGAUAAAGCAUGCCCACUUCAAUAAGUGAAGCGGGUGGAAUCCCAAGUGCAGUUGCAGGGCACCUGCUAUUGCGUCUAAGAAACCCAUAAACAAUGUCAAUGGCAAACUUCUUCAGGAAAGAUGAUGCCUCACUUGCUUUCACACUAGUAUUGCUAAUCAUGUAAGCCACACCUGCUUCUUUUGCCUCCAUCAGUUCCUCUACUUCCUCGCUUACUUCUAUAUUUAUUUUAAACCUCACUUUCCUUGUCCCAGCACCAGUAGUACCCUUCUCAUUUGCCUCUAUUAUUGCCAUUUCUUGGCUUUGAACUUGACAUUUCAGGAAUCUUGACAUGUUUUCAAUCAGAUGAGUUUCCAAGUCAUGGCUGUCCCUCACAUCCUUGUACCCGUAUCUGACCAGAGCGAUGACAUAAGACUUCAGUACUCAGCAAUUCAGCUGAAAAGACAAAAAAAAAUUCCAAUGCAUAGAGUGUGGGCUGAAUUUUACCUAACAAUGCACCGGAACAGAGGGAAUUCUGGAGGUCCUAUCCUCACAAAAUGGAAACGCUCACCAACUGGAACUUUUGGGAUCAUCAAAGACUGAAGGGUCACGAAUAUGAGAAUCUGAUGGAAUGCGGGAAAGUUUGUGACAAAAUGAGCGAACAUUGGGGGCACACCAUUGGUAACAUCAGAGUAAACUAGGCAAAUUCCUGGAACUCUUGUUAUUCCCAGGUUUGAUCCUAGGGUCAGCAGGCUGUCCAAGCUAACCUUGUUCUCCAUCUCAAACGCAAGCUUUUUUGAAGUUCCGUAAUGCCACGUUGACAUUAGAGACAAGAUUAGGAGAGAGACCACUAGGGGAAGCCAUCCUCCUUUGUGUACCUUGGCAAGGCAUGCAGAGAAAUACGACAAUUCCACAAAUCCAAACACCAAUACAAACAGUAAAGCCCAGAAAACAUUUCGAUUCCACACAGUGCUAAUGAUCAAAAACAUCAACAAGGUUGUGACGAACAUAACUACAACCACAGCAAGACCUGUACAUAAACAACAAAAUCACAAGGCUUGAUUAUAAUAUGCUCAUACACGAAAUUAAACAGGAAGAGGAGAGAGGGAUGUAAUGCAAACCGUAUGCAUUGCCAAUCAUAGCAGUGUCUCUGAAUCCAAUAACAACAGCAAGACACAACAGCAUUAGUAUCCAGUUCACCUCUGGUAUGUAUAUCUGCCCAUGUAUAUUAUUUGAUGUGUGCACUAUCUUUACUCGUGGGAAGCAACCCAGUGCCCUGGACUGACUAAUGAUGGAGAAAGUUGCCGAGAUUAUUGCUUGGCUACCCACCACAGUUGCCAGGGUUGCAAUGAGAAACACUGGCCAAAAUAUUACCUCUGAAGGGCAUAGAAGGAUGAGGAAAAGGAAGAAAAUUUGAAAAUUAUCUUACUAAACAUGCUCCAAUUCAAGAGGGGCAUCUAAUUCUUUCACAAGUAAGAGCAGCCUUGCAAUUUUCCAGUCUAUAGAAAUAUAUUCAAGCUUACCUGGGAUAGCCUUGUAAAAACUUCUCUGAAGAUCCUCUUUGUGCAUGGAUAGGUAGGCAGCUUCACCCAUAUAAGCCAGAACCAAGCAAGGAUACACAAUUACUGUAAAAGCAAUCUAUUUGAAGAAGGCAUGGAUUUUCAAUAUUCAUGUUUCUUUAAAGAUUAUUCAAGAAUAAAACAUAGAAAAUAGUGGAAAAUAGAUUACCCUGAGAGAAAGUUGUGAGAAAUGGCCAAGAUCAGCAAAC